RNAcentral lists this ribosomal RNA (492 nucleotides) under uncultured bacterium. RNAcentral's name for it is "partial 16S ribosomal RNA". It matches the Rfam family "Bacterial small subunit ribosomal RNA", at positions 29 to 507 of the family's 1533-position model. The record is from RNAcentral.
AGUGAACGCUGGCGGCAGGCCUAACACAUGCAAGUCGAACGGAAGCACAGUAAGAGCUUGCUCUUACGGGUGGCGAGUGGCGGACGGGUGAGGAAUACAUCGGAUUCUACUUUUUCGUGGGGGAUAACGUAGGGAAACUUACGCUAACACCGCAUAUGACCUACGGGUGAAAUCAGGGGUUCUUCGCACCUUGGGCGAUAGAAAGAGCUGAAGUCGGAUUACCUAGUUGGCGAGGUAAAGGCCCACCAAGGCGACGAUCCGUAGCUGAUCUGAGAGGAUGAUCAGCCACACUGGAACUGAGACACGGUCCAGACUCCUACGGGAGGCAGCAGUAGGGAAUAUUGGGCAAUGGGCGAAAGCCUGAUGCAGCAAUGCCGCGUGAGUGAAGAAGGUCUUCGGAUUGUAAAACCCUGUUGUUAGGAAAGAAAAGCUGCGGGUUAAUACCCCGCUGUUCUGACGGUACCCAAAGAGUAAGCACCGGCUAACUUCGUG